RNAcentral lists this ribosomal RNA (492 nucleotides) under uncultured bacterium. Its description in RNAcentral is "partial 16S ribosomal RNA". It matches the Rfam family "Bacterial small subunit ribosomal RNA", at positions 29 to 507 of the family's 1533-position model. The record is from RNAcentral.
AGUGAACGCUGGCGGUAGGCCUAACACAUGCGAGUCGAACGGCAGCACAGUAAGAGCUUGCUCUUACGGGUGGCGAGUGGCGGACGGGUGAGGCAUACAUCGGAAUCUACUUUUUCGUGGGGGAUAACGUAGGGAAACUUACGCUAAUACCGCAUACGACCUACGGGUGAAAGCAGGGGAUCUUCGGACCUUGCGCGAUUGAAUGAGCCGAUGUCGGAUUAGCUAGUUGGCGGGGUAAAGGCCCACCAAGGCGACGAUCCGUAGCUGGUCUGAGAGGAUGAUCAGCCACACUGGAACUGAGACACGGUCCAGACUCCUACGGGAGGCAGCAGUGGGGAAUAUUGGACAAUGGGCGCAAGCCUGAUCCAGCCAUACCGCGUGGGUGAAGAAGGCCUUCGGGUUGUAAAGCCCUUUUGUUGGGAAAGAAAAGCAGCAGGUUAAUACCCCGCUGUUCUGACGGUACCCAAAGAAUAAGCAACGGCUAACUUCGUG